Molecule: long non-coding RNA, 853 nt
Organism: Entelurus aequoreus (snake pipefish)
Lineage: Eukaryota; Metazoa; Chordata; Actinopteri; Syngnathiformes; Syngnathidae
Exons: 3
Source: RefSeq, a predicted model, not a curated record
AAAGCGUUAUUUGUAUUACUUCCGUGUGGACGUAUGCGCGUGUGCGAUUGUGAGUGAAUUGAACGGCGCAAUUACAAAUUACAAAAUAAAGUUUAAAAAACAUCUAUGUCGUGCGCGCAAUACAACUGUGCUGCUUUUAUUUUGAAAUGUGUUAUUUAUGCCGUAUGUCCGGAGGGAACCUGUGAGGGAAGGUGCAUAGAGACAAGUGAUGAGACGCUAAAAAAAGAAAAGUUGAUGAGGAAUGGCGUGUUUCCAACAAGAGAUGGACUGCCAAGUAUUUCUUUACAUAAAUUAAUGGUAAAGCCGUGUGCUUAAUGUGUGGUACACAGGUUGCUGUGUUUAAAUAUCAUUUUAAUCGCCACUACACGAAGAAACACGAGGGAAAAUACCGGGAUGUGUCUGAUGAAGCGCGCGCAAGGGAGGCUGAUGCGUUGAUGGUAAAACUGCAAACCCAACAAGGACUUUGUGCCAUAUUUCACACCCCCAGAGAUGCAGCCGUCAGGACAAGUUUCGUCAUUUCUCACAAAAGCGCCAGAAAAAGUAAGGCGUUUUCUGACGGAGAGUUUAUUAAGGAGUGCUUAUUGGACUUUGUUGCGCUGAUAAUGCCCGGAGACAUGGAUUGUUUUUCGCUAACUUUGGAUGAGAGCUCUGAUGCAGUCAAUUAAAGAGACAACCACAGGUCCUAAAUGGGUGUCAAAGUGUCCCAAUUUGUCAGAAUACGUCUUCAGACUUCUUCUGUCCAGAAUCCGUACAUUUAUGUUCUCAAAGGAGUGCUGUUUCACCCUGAGGUGCAGGUAGACAGCUGAGUCUUGGCCUGAAGAGUUUGCCCGUCUAUGCUGUGCCAUACUUUGCU